UUUUCACCUGUUUAACUGUGUUACAGGGAGCGGUGCAGGGCCACUCUUCCUCUAUGGGUCGCUGGCGGCAGCUUCAUUUCUUCUGAUUACUCUGUUAAUUACACUGGUAAUAUGCUAUCGAAGACAGAAUAAACCAGAUGCGUAUUUGGCAAAUGAACCAUCGAUGUAUUCCGAGAUUCGCGUUACAGGGAGGGCGCCAGACAAACAAAUAGCAGGGCAACGUGAAAACACCGGUUCUGGAGGAAUGCAUGCCAGACCAAAGAUAAGAGCAGCGGU
Molecule: long non-coding RNA, 276 nt
Organism: Acipenser ruthenus (sterlet)
Lineage: Eukaryota; Metazoa; Chordata; Actinopteri; Acipenseriformes; Acipenseridae
Exons: 4
Source: RefSeq, a predicted model, not a curated record